This 497-nucleotide ribosomal RNA is filed under the name uncultured bacterium. RNAcentral's name for it is "partial 16S ribosomal RNA". It matches the Rfam family "Bacterial small subunit ribosomal RNA", at positions 28 to 507 of the family's 1533-position model. The record is from RNAcentral.
GAUGAACGCUGGCGGCGUGCCUAAUACAUGCAAGUCGAGCGAACAGACGAGGAGCUUGCUCCUCUGACGUUAGCGGCGGACGGGUGAGUAACACGUGGAUAACCUACCUAUAAGACUGGGAUAACUUCGGGAAACCGGAGCUAAUACCGGAUAAUAUAUUGAACCGCAUGGUUCAAUAGUGAAAGACGGUUUUGCUGUCACUUAUAGAUGGAUCCGCGCCGCAUUAGCUAGUUGGUAAGGUAACGGCUUACCAAGGCAACGAUGCGUAGCCGACCUGAGAGGGUGAUCGGCCACACUGGAACGGAGACACGGUACAGAGUCCUACGGAAGCAAGCAGUAGGGAAUCGUCCGCAAUGGGCGAAAACCUGACGGAGCAACGCCGCGUGAGUGAUGAAGGUCUUCGGAUCGUAAAACUCUGUUAUUAGGGAAGAACAAAUGUGUAAGUAACUAUGCACGAAUUGACGGUACCUAAUCAGAAAGCCACGGCUAACUACGUG